AGAGUUGAUCGUGCGCAGGACGACGCUGGCGGCGUGCCUAACACAUGCAAGUCGAGCGAUGAAGUUCUUCGGAACGGAUUAGCGGCGACGGGUGAGUAACACGUGGGUAACCUGCCUUGUAGAGGGGGAUAGCCUUCCGAAAGGAAGAUUAAUACCGCAUAACAUCUUUUUAUCGCAUGGUAGAAAGAUCAAAGGAGCAAUCCGCUACAAGAUGGACCCGCGGCGCAUUAGCUAGUUGGUGAGGUAACGGCUCACCAAGGCGACGAUGCGUAGCCGACCUGAGAGGGUGAUCGGCCACAUUGGAACUGAGACACGGUCCAGACUCCUACGGGAGGCAGCAGUGGGGAAUAUUGCGCAAUGGGGGGAAACCCUGACGCAGCAACGCCGCGUGAAUGAAGAAGGCCUUAGGGUUGUAAAGUUCUGUUUACGGGGACGAUAAUGACGGUACCCGUGGAGGAAGCCACGGCUAACUACGUGCCAGCCGCCGC
This 488-nucleotide ribosomal RNA is filed under the name uncultured bacterium. Its description in RNAcentral is "bacterial SSU rRNA". It matches the Rfam family "Bacterial small subunit ribosomal RNA", at positions 1 to 518 of the family's 1533-position model. The record is from RNAcentral.